RNAcentral lists this ribosomal RNA (625 nucleotides) under Diloma aridum. RNAcentral's name for it is "partial 12S ribosomal RNA". The record is from RNAcentral. Lineage: Eukaryota; Metazoa; Mollusca; Gastropoda; Trochida; Trochidae.
AGGGUUAAAAAAUUAAAAUGUUAUUAGAAGUCCUCAGUUUCUUGUAGAGGUGGAAUUCGAAUAAGAAAAUUUAGAUUCCUGACUUCUUUAUUUUGAAGCCUUGAAAAUUUAGUUUGAGACCGGGAUUAGAUACCCCGUUAUUUAAUUUGUAAACUUUGAUGUUUUUAAUUUACUUGAGUAUUACGAGUGACUAAUUGAUGAGUAAACUGAUUAGUGUAGACUUAAAACUCAAAAAACUUGGCGGUGCCUUAAUUCUUUUCAGGGGAACUUGUCCCGUAAUCGAUGGUCCUCGAUUUAACUUACUUUUUUUUGUAUUUUAUUUUUAAAACAGUCUGUAUACCGUCGUCGUCAGAUUACCUUUAAGAGAGAUAAAAGUUGUCGGAAAAAAUGAAUAUAAUUAGUAAUACAUUGUAGGUGAAAUGCUUAGGUGAUAUUGAAGUUGUAUGUAUUUUUAAUGUCAGAUCAAGGUGCAGCUUAUAAAAAAGUGGAGAUGAGUUACAAUGAAUAUUUAUUAAACGGAUUUUAGAUUGUAAAAUUUAAGUAAAGGCGGACUUGAGAGUAAUAUUAAUAGAAGUAAUAAAAGCUUUAAUUAGUGUGUAAAUGUGAAUAUGGUGCUAAGGUGCGU